AGAGUUUGAUCCGGCUCAGGAUGAACGCUGGCGGCGUGCUUAACACAUGCAAGUCGAACGGGGUACCCAUGACAGAGGCUUCGGCCAAUUGAUUGGAAUACCUAGUGGCGGACGGGUGAGUAACGCGUGAGCAAUCUGCCUUGGAGUGGGGAAUAACAGUUGGAAACAGCUGCUAAUACCGCAUAAUACAGUUGUGUCGCAUGGCACUGACUGUCAAAGAUUUAUCGCUCUGAGAUGAGCUCGCGUCUGAUUAGCUAGUUGGUGAGGUAACGGCUCACCAAGGCGACGAUCAGUAGCCGGACUGAGAGGUUGGCCGGCCACAUUGGGACUGAGACACGGCCCAGACUCCUACGGGAGGCAGCAGUGGGGAAUAUUGGGCAAUGGGCGCAAGCCUGACCCAGCAACGCCGCGUGAAGGAAGAAGGCUUUCGGGUUGUAAACUUCUUUUCUGAGGGACGAUAGUGACGGUACCUCAGGAAUAAGCCACGGCUAACUACGUGCCAGCAGCCGCGGUAAUACGUAGGUGGCAAGCGUUAUCCGGAUUUACUGGGUGUAAAGGGCGUGUANGCGGGAUGGUAAGUCAGAUGUGAAAACUAUGGGCUCAACCCAUAGCCUGCAUUUGAAACUAUCGUUCUUGAGUGUUGGAGAGGCAGGCGGA
This 657-nucleotide ribosomal RNA is filed under the name uncultured bacterium. RNAcentral describes it as "bacterial SSU rRNA". It matches the Rfam family "Bacterial small subunit ribosomal RNA", at positions 8 to 665 of the family's 1533-position model. The record is from RNAcentral.